UAAUGCAGUCGAGCGGACCGACGGGAGCUUGCUCCCUUAGGUCAGCGGCGGACGGGUGAGUAACACGUGGGUAACCUGCCUGUAAGACUGGGAUAACUCCGGGAAACCGGGGCUAAUACCGGAUGCUUGAUUGAACCGCAUGGUUCAAUCAUAAAAGGUGGCUUUUAGCUACCACUUGCAGAUGGACCCGCGGCGCAUUAGCUAGUUGGUGAGGUAACGGCUCACCAAGGCGACGAUGCGUAGCCGACCUGAGAGGGUGAUCGGCCACACUGGGACUGAGACACGGCCCAGACUCCUAUGGGAGGCAGCAGUAGGGAAUCUUCCGCAAUGGACGAAAGUCUGACGGAGCAACGCCGCGUGAGUGAUGAAGGUUUUCGGAUCGUAAAACUCUGUUGUUAGGGAAGAACAAGUGCCGUUCGAAUAGGGCGGUACCUUGACGGUACCUAACCAGAAAGCCACGGCUAACUACGUGCCAGCAGCCGCGGUAAUACGUAGGUGGCAAGCGUUGUCCGGAAUUAUUGGGCGUAAAGCGCGCGCAGGCGGUUUCUUAAGUCUGAUGUGAAAGCCCCCGGCUCAACCGGGGAGGGUCAUUGGAAACUGGGGAACUUGAGUGCAGAAGAGGAGAGUGGAAUUCCACGUGUAGCGGUGAAAUGCGUAGAGAUGUGGAGGAACACCAGUGGCGAAGGCGACUCUCUGGUCUGUAACUGACGCUGAGGCGCGAAAGCGUGGGGAGCGAACAGGAUUAGAUACCCUGGUAGUCCACGCCGUAAACGAUGAGUGCUAAGUGUUAGAGGGUUUCCGCCCUUUAGUGCUGCAGCAAACGCAUUAAGCACUCCGCCUGGGGAGUACG
This 850-nucleotide ribosomal RNA is filed under the name uncultured Bacillus sp. Its description in RNAcentral is "bacterial SSU rRNA". It matches the Rfam family "Bacterial small subunit ribosomal RNA", at positions 52 to 884 of the family's 1533-position model. The record is from RNAcentral. Lineage: Bacteria; Bacillati; Bacillota; Bacilli; Caryophanales; Bacillaceae.